This is a non-coding RNA of Zea mays, 109 nucleotides long. The record is from Rfam. NCBI's taxonomy places the organism in Eukaryota, Viridiplantae, Streptophyta, Magnoliopsida, Poales, Poaceae.
ACUCUAGUAUUGAUUUUAAUCCACAUAUAUUGAGGUGGAUUAGAGUAUAACUUAAACUAAUUUACACUCGAAUUCACCUCAACACAUGUGGAUUGAGGUCAAUACUAGA